This 265-nucleotide ribosomal RNA is filed under the name uncultured bacterium. RNAcentral describes it as "partial 16S ribosomal RNA". It matches the Rfam family "Bacterial small subunit ribosomal RNA", at positions 45 to 291 of the family's 1533-position model. The record is from RNAcentral.
UGCCUAACACAUGCAAGUCGAGCGCGAAAGGAGUGCUUCGGCCUCUGAGUAGAGCGGCGGACGGGUGAGUAACACGUGGGUAACCUGUCCUCGGGUGGGGAAUAACUUCGGGAAACCGGGGCUAAUUCCGCAUGACAUCGCGAAUUCAUAAGUGUUUGCGAUCAAAGCUGGGGAUCCUUCGGGACCUGGCGCCUGAGGAGGGGCCCGCGGCCGAUUAGCUUGUUGGUGAGGUAAUGGCUCACCAAGGCUACGAUCGGUAGCCGGC